RNA transcript from Olea europaea var. sylvestris, 2347 nucleotides. It is a transcript of the gene named probable RNA polymerase II transcription factor B subunit 1-1, with no coding region annotated. Lineage: Eukaryota; Viridiplantae; Streptophyta; Magnoliopsida; Lamiales; Oleaceae. The transcript is spliced from 20 exons. The record is from RefSeq and is a predicted model, not a curated record.
UUAUUUGAGAAUUAAAACUCUUGGAAUCACGUUGCCCUGAUUGAUAGCCACCACGCCCCUGAGUCAUUGCAAAGGAUCGAUGGUCUUUCUUCCCUCCCAGUUGGCGCCCCCAACGCCAGCCAGAGAAAGAUUUUUAUACUUCACUCUAAAACCCUAGAUCUCUGCGUGCAUUUCUCGGAGCCGAUUCAAAUUGAUUCCGUGUUGCCGUAGAUUAUUCAAUUUAAAUUCAUUAUAACCGGGAUAAUUAUAUUAGAUUAAUUCAGUACCAAUUUGAGUAUUUUUGUUGUUGUUUGCCAAUACUUCUGCUAUCAAACAUGGCCGAUGGGCAGGUGAUGAAGCGUGCCAAGUAUAAGUCAUCGGUCAAGGACCCCGGUGUUCCUGGCUCCCUUAAAAUGACCAGGGAAAGAAUUGUUUUUAUGCCAAAUGAUCCAAAUUCACCCAGAAAGCUAAAUGUGGAGUUUAGGACGAUUAAAGGGCAUAAAUUUACCAAGGAGGGUUCCAGUAAACAGGCCCUUCUUAAUCUUACACAAGACCAGGGUGGAAAUUAUAUAUUUGAGUUUGAUAGUUUUGCUGAUCGUGAUAUUUGCCGAGAAUUUGUGGCUGCAGCUAUCGCAUUUCAUGGAGAAACUGGAAAAUCUACCUCUGAAAAGCCUGCUGCUGCUCUUCAGGAUGAACAGCUUAGCACAGCAGAAAUGGAGCAUCGGAUUAAGCUACUGCAGGAGGACAACGAAUUGCAGAGGCUUCACAAGCAAUUUGUAAUUGGAGGUAUCCUGACAGAGGCUGAAUUUUGGGCGACAAGGAAGAAAUUACUGGAUCAAAAUGACAGAAGAAAGCCAAAGCAGCGAGUUGCGUUAAAAAACGAAAUGUGGAGUGUGAAACCCUUAUCGGAUGGUCAGUCUAACAGAGUUACAUUCAACUUGACUCCAGAGAUUAUUCAUCAGAUAUUUGCUGAGAAACCGGCUGUUCGCCAAGCAUACCUGAAGUUUGUUCCGAACAAGAUGUCAGAAAAAGAAUUCUGGACCAAAUAUUCAAGAGCAGAAUAUCUCCACAGUACUAAAAAUGUAGUUGCUGCUGCAGCUGAGGCUGCUGAAGAUGAGGAGCUUGCCGUUUUUUUGAAACAAGAUGACAUGUUGACAAAUGAAGCUCGUAGAAAGAUCAGACGUGUCGACCCAACUUUGGACAUGGAAGCUGAUGUAGGCGAUGACUACAUGCAUCUCCCGGAUCACGGGUUACUUCGUGAAGAGAGCAAGGAUGUUUUAGAUUCACAAUAUGAGCCAUACAGAAGAUAUUUCUCACAAGAUCUCAACCAGCAUGCUGCAGUUGUUCUUCAAGGAAGAGUUGUAGAUGUUGAGCUUGGAGACACAAGGUCUGUGGCUGAAGCACUUGCUCGGACAAAACAAGCUGAGUUGGCUAAUGAAGUAUCUGAUGGGAAUUUAGAAAAAGAUCUCUCACACAGAAUAUCUCGAGUAGCCGAGAUUGAGGAUCUUCAGGGGCCUCGAGACCUUGCAGUUGCUCCCCUCUGUAUUAAGGACCCUAGGGACUACUUCGACUCUCAGCAAGCUAAUGCAUUAAAACCAUUAGGAGAUGCUGGUUCUGGUGUAAAGACAUUAAAAUUUAAUGUAAGCUCAGUUGAAGCCUACGGUUCUUUAAGGGAACUUAUAUCAGAGAUUAGAGUCACAGGAUUGAGUGAACCAAUUACAGAUCCAGAAGUUGCCUUUAAGGUUCUCAGUGGGUUGACCCAGAAUAUAUCAAGCACGAAAUACCAUCUUGGAAAGAGCCCACACGAGAGCAUAUUGGAUAGCUUGCCAAAGGUUACUAAAGAGGAUCUUUUACAUCAUUGGACAUCUAUUCAGGAAUUAUUGAAACAUUUCUGGUCAUCAUAUCCAAUUACAACAAAGUAUCUUUAUACAAAGUUUACACUCUUCAUAGGUAACCAGAUUGAAAGAUGCCAUGUCACAAGUAUAUCCAAAGCUACAGGAAAUUAAGGAAUCUGUGCAGUCAGAUUUCCGGCAUCAAGUUUCCUUACUUGUCCAACCAAUGCUUCAGGCUUUAGAUGCUGCCUUUGCACACUAUGAUGCAGAUGUACAGAAAAGGUCUGCUAAGAGUGGAGAAAGACCCAAUGGGUUUAUGUAGCAAAGUUUUCGCGGUUUUUUCAUAUUAUAAGAAAUAUAUGAAGUGUAUAUCUUAUAAAUUUUGUUGAUUUUUCUGCUUUUUGAGAAGAUCUCACUAAUUUUUACAUUGCUAGGCGCUUGCUACAGUGUUACAUGUUCUCAUGAGUUAUGGAAACCAUAAAUGUACCUUAAUUAUCUUUUGUUACCGUUGGGAUUUUGACAGAGCUUCAAUUGAA